AUUAAUUAAAGAAUGAAUUAAUUAAUUGCUUGGGCCUACAAACAUACGUGGCAUGUGCUCAUUGGGCCUGCACCAUAAUAGGUGCGGUGACCCCUGCACCUGAGCCGAACCCCUUGACUGGUAAUGUACCGAAUACAACAAUUUGAACUGUUAGUAACAAACAUAAACUACUCCCAACGGCCAACAACCAUACAUAAACAACAACGGCAAAAACAUUGCAUUAGCAACAGCAGAAGAUAAAGAAAAGACGAUCUUUAAUUAGCAGCAGCAUUAUCUCUAUUACUUUGUACUAUGUAGGAACAACAAACUCUUUGUAGCAUCAUCAUCAUUAUCUCUAAGCAGUAGUGCUAUCCCUUUAAUGAUUCCAUGCAUCAUCAAGGCACUGAACAUCCGGCGUGGGAGGAACUGAUCAGCAGGACAAAACCAACAAAACCGAUCAACAUUGAAGAUCACACAAUAAUCAAAGGAUGAAAAGAGAAAAAUAACUACGAAGGAAAGGAGAUAUACAAGACGGAAUCGACCACUCUACCCCAACGAAGUAUACCAGACCGCCAUCUAGAGGCCAAUGAGACAUGCAUGCCAUCUACAGAAGUGUAAAAGAACCAAAAAAACGCUGAUUACAAACCAAACACUGAGUGAAAUCACAAAUAUGAGGCACACUCACCACCACAAGAAACUAUUUGACACAGCGAAUCUCCCACUCGCCGUCAGCGAGAUUCCUCAAGAUCCAAAUUACAUGAUGGAAUCAUAGUACCUGCAAAUUUCACAAAUAAAACAAAGAAUCACGAAAUAAAAAAACACAGAAAUCAGAUUUAGAGAGGAAAAGGAACAAGAACGUAUGUACCUGAAGCGAUGGAACCAACAGACGGUGACACGGACAACGGAUGCCGAGUUGCCGACCAACCGGCCGCCGGUGAGACGCACCACCGAAAGAACCACGAAGAACCAACGCAGGCGGAGCGCCACAUCCCCGGAAGAACGAACCGACGGCGGCCGAUCCCGGGCGCGAGGUGGAUGAGCGAGAGGCAUGGGACAAAUCGAGGCGCUGACCGGAGGUACGCCGGCGGGGCCCGACGGGUUGGACAGGCUCCAGAUCAAGAACACAGGGAAGGCUGCAGCGCCCUGAAUUCCGUCUUCUCCGCCAUUACUUCCUCUGGGUCUCUCAUGGCAAGCGGUGUCGGCAGGGCAGAUGGGAGCACGAGGGGGAGAGGCAGGUGCGGACGCCGCGGGGACUGAAAGAUUCACACACAGGAAGGGGAUUUUAUAGGAGAAUACGGCGGCGAAGCGGUGGCACAGUUGACG
Molecule: long non-coding RNA, 1302 nt
Filed under: Triticum aestivum (bread wheat)
Lineage: Eukaryota; Viridiplantae; Streptophyta; Magnoliopsida; Poales; Poaceae
Description: long non-coding RNA (TAES_LNC011546)
Source: RNAcentral